ACCCACUCCAGCACCUAGAGGAGAGCAGGUAAACCAAAGGAAGGGAGGAAGGGAGGAAGGGAAUGGCAUGACCAUGCUUGGCUGCCUUCCUCCCAGCGCGUGAGGAUUUGGACCAAUUCUUCUUACCCUAAACUCAGCCUCUGAGUUUCAGAGUAACCCUGACUUGCAGAGUUCCAGACAUGGAACCAGGUAGCUGGUAAUGAGAGCUAAGAGGAGAAAGGAUGGGGGAUGGUGAAGCUGGGUGUGAUGAGAAGCACACUGGACUUCAAAUGAGACCAUUUUUAUUGAAAUUUCAGCUGUGCCUUUUACAUGCUUUGUGACCAUGGGCAAGUUACUUACCUGACCUCACUGAGGAUUCUUUCCUCAAUUAUAAAAUAAAGCAGAAAUGCCAUCUGUUUGUGAGAAAA
Molecule: long non-coding RNA, 407 nt
Organism: Homo sapiens (human)
Lineage: Eukaryota; Metazoa; Chordata; Mammalia; Primates; Hominidae
Exons: 2
Source: RefSeq, a predicted model, not a curated record